This 432-nucleotide ribosomal RNA is filed under the name uncultured bacterium. Its description in RNAcentral is "partial 16S ribosomal RNA". It matches the Rfam family "Bacterial small subunit ribosomal RNA", at positions 29 to 506 of the family's 1533-position model. The record is from RNAcentral.
AACGAACGCUGGCGGCAUGCCUAACACAUGCAAGUCGAACGAGACCUUCGGGUCUAGUGGCGCACGGGUGCGUAACGCGUGGGAACCUGCCCUUAGGUUCGGAAUAACUCCCCGAAAGGGGUGCUAAUACCGGAUAAUGUCUUCGGACCAAAGAUUUAUCGCCUUUGGAUGGGCCCGCGUUGGAUUAGCUAGUUGGUAGGGUAAAAGCCUACCAAGGCGGCGAUCCAUAGCUGGUCUGAGAGGAUGAUCAGCCACACUGGGACUGAGACACGGCCCAGACUCCUACGGGAGGCAGCAGUGGGGAAUAUUGGACAGUGGGCGAAAGCCUGAUCCAGCAAUGCCGCGUGAGUGAUGAAGGCCUUAGGGUUGUAAAGCUCUUUUACCCGGGAUGAUAAUGACAGUACCGGGAGAAUAAGCUCCGGCUAACUCCGU